UUUGGCCUCAUUUUCACGUAACACAAACCCUAGCCCCCUCUCUUCUCUCCCACUCCUCCUCUGCCGCUGCCCCCGCCUUCUCCAUGGCGGCACCACCACCUGCCGCCGUCCAAACACUCCCAAAACUUCACCCAACCAUCCCUCUCUUCACCUUUUACCUGAAUCCAAACCCCAUAUCUCUCAAAUCCCUCUCAAUCCUCUCAAGUCUACUCCAAAACCGAACUCUAGCCGCCGCCUAUUUUCUCGAAUUAGACGAACUCUGGCCAUCCCUACACUUUAAUUCUUUCAUCACCGGAUAGAUCUCUUAAAGAUCUAUCAAUCCCCCUUUGGUUUCACGGCCGAACUCCGACGACCAAAAUUCCGGCGACCAUCACUUCCAUACCACCAUUACUACUUGAAAUUGCCUUCUUUUUGAGUCAUUAAGCUUGAGACAUUGUGCGCUCUUCAAUAAGUUGGCUAUUUUUUGUUAUAUCGAUUGGAGAUGGCACAACAUCCCAAGUUUGGUGGCUGCCCGUUUGUUAUUCCGGCAAGCCGAUUGAUUCUCCAAGACUCGUGUAUUCAGUAAUUCUCUUAAAGUGCUACAGUAAUUUUGAGUCAAGAAUGAAUGGAGACGAACCAAUUUGAGUUCUCUUCAGUUUGUUCUAAGCUUUUAAAGCAUUCUGUUUUUUUGUAAGGUUUUGUGUGUGAGCAUAUAUAAUAAAUAGUUGCUUUGUUAUUGUGACUCACUGUCACCUUUGUUUUUUUUUUUUUUUUUUUUUUUUUUUUUUUUUUUUUUUUUUUGUUUGUUUUUUGUAAAAAAUCGCCAACAAAACAGCAAUGUACUGAUAUAGGUUCAAAUGUUUAAGUUUCUGUCUCAA
Molecule: long non-coding RNA, 857 nt
Organism: Nicotiana tabacum (common tobacco)
Lineage: Eukaryota; Viridiplantae; Streptophyta; Magnoliopsida; Solanales; Solanaceae
Source: RefSeq, a predicted model, not a curated record